CAGAGUUGCAAAACUCCCCAAAACCAUUGUGAACCUUACCUUCAACCGUUGCUUCGGCGGGCGGGCCACAGCGCCCCCCGGGCCCCCCCAGCGGGGCGCCCGCCGGAGGAUACCCAAACUCUUGAUACUUUAUGGCCCUCUCUGAGUCUUCUGUACUGAAUAAGUCA
Molecule: unclassified non-coding RNA, 167 nt
Filed under: soil metagenome
Description: partial internal transcribed spacer 1
Source: RNAcentral